UGGGGAAUUUUGCACAAUGGAGGAAACUCUGAUGCAGCGACGCCGCGUGAGUGAUGAAGAUCUUCGGAUUGUAAAACUCUGUCCUUAGUGAAGAUAAUGACAGUAACUAAGAAGAAGCCCUGGCUAAAUACGUGCCAGCAGCCGCGGUAAUACGUAUGGGGCAAGCGUUGUCCGGAAUUAUUGGGCGUAAAGGGUACGUAGGCGGUUUAAUAAGUCCUAAUUAAAAGGCUAUGGCUCAACCAUAGUAUGGUUAGGAAACUGUUGAACUUGAGUAGAUGAGGGGAAAGUGGAAUUCCAUGUGUAGCGGUGAAAUGCGUAGAUAUAUGGAGGAACACCAAUGGCGAAGGCAACUUUCUGGAAUCAAACUGACGCUGAGGUACGAAGGCGUGGGGAGCAAACAGG
RNAcentral lists this ribosomal RNA (402 nucleotides) under Fusobacteriota bacterium. Its description in RNAcentral is "Fusobacteria bacterium partial 16S ribosomal RNA". It matches the Rfam family "Bacterial small subunit ribosomal RNA", at positions 355 to 776 of the family's 1533-position model. Lineage: Bacteria; Fusobacteriati; Fusobacteriota. The record is from RNAcentral.